This 913-nucleotide unclassified non-coding RNA is filed under the name Homo sapiens (human). RNAcentral describes it as "novel transcript (ENSG00000284445.3)". Lineage: Eukaryota; Metazoa; Chordata; Mammalia; Primates; Hominidae. The record is from RNAcentral.
GGCCCCAAUAACUUGUCCCAGAGGGGAUGCCCAGGGCUCAGUUGCCUGAGGACAGCAGUGCAGUUGACAUGGAUAUUCUCUUUCCUCUGGACAGUGUUAUCGGUACAGAGCUGUGCCCCAGCCCCAUUCCCCAGAUCAUCCAUUUCGUCCUCUUUGUUGUGUUCAGCCUGGUGAUCCUGAUUAUCUUACGCCUCUACAUUCCCAGGGAGCCAUCCUCAGUGCCUCCCAGAGAGGAGGACAGCGAGAAUGAUCAAGCUGAAGUGGGGGAAUGGCUCAGGAUCGGAAAUAAAUAUAUCACUUUGAAAGAUUACAGAAUUCUCUUGAAAGAACUGGAGAACCUUGAGAUCUACACUUUCCUGUCGAAAAAGUGCCUGAAGAAGCUCUCUAGGGAGGGCAGCUCCCAUCACCUUCCACGCCAAGUCCGCCCAGGGCCAGUGUACAAACCAGCACCUGCUAGGAACCACCGGCCACGUGGGGGGCGUGGGAAAGCUUCUCCCACCAGCUUCCAUGUGUCCCCACGGGCUCCCCUGGCUCCUCUGGCCUCCAUGCCGUCAUCAGUCCCGAAGACCUCCGUAGAGUCCUUGGGGUCUCCAUCAUCCCUGAGCUCCUCCAAGCCACGAGAGCCUCUGUGUCCCCUGAAGCACCCUUCACACCAGCCACCUGCGAGCACCCUAUCACCAAACCCGACCAGCUCCACAGAAUCCUUGGGCCUGGAUGUGCCAACGCUGCUGGACGCAUAAGACACCAAAAUCCCAGACACUCCCAUGGACACCGAAUAUCCGACAUCCACGAACAAUUGGGAAUCUCCUGAGGACAACUUGGAGAUGGAGUCUCACUCUGUUGCUCAGGCUGGAGUGCAGUGGCACCAUCUUGGCUCACCACAACCUCCGCCUCCCGGAUUCAAGCCAUUCUC